GCUUUAUUGAAUAUAAUUCAUACACCAUAUAAUUCAUCCAUUUAAAUCGUACAAUUCAGUGGCUUUUAGUACUCAGAAUGGUGUAACCAUCACUGUAAUUAAAUUUAGGAUAUUUUUAUUCCCCUAAAGCAAACUUCCAUUCCUUAGCCAUCACCUCUCUAAUUCUCUAAUUUUACUCAAUGCGAGGCAACAAUUAAUCUGCUUCUGUCUCUGUAGUUAAUUUGCCUAUUCUGGGCAUUUCAUAUAAAUGCAAUCACAAAAUAUGUUUUCUUUGUAACUUGCUUCUUUUACUUUCAAAU
RNAcentral lists this long non-coding RNA (299 nucleotides) under Marmota monax (woodchuck). Lineage: Eukaryota; Metazoa; Chordata; Mammalia; Rodentia; Sciuridae. The record is from RNAcentral.